RNAcentral lists this ribosomal RNA (253 nucleotides) under uncultured bacterium. Its description in RNAcentral is "partial 16S ribosomal RNA". It matches the Rfam family "Bacterial small subunit ribosomal RNA", at positions 524 to 776 of the family's 1533-position model. The record is from RNAcentral.
UACAGAGGUCUCAAGCGUUGUUCGGAUUCAUUGGGCGUAAAGGGUGCGUAGGCGGCGGGGUAAGUCGGAUGUGAAAUCCCAGGGCUCAACCCUGGAACUGCAUUCGAUACUGCCUUGCUCGAGUACUGGAGAGGAGACUGGAAUUUACGGUGUAGCAGUGAAAUGCGUAGAUAUCGUAAGGAAGACCAGUGGCGAAGGCGGGUCUCUGGACAGUUCCUGACGCUGAGGCACGAAGGUCAGGGGAGCAAACGGG